UGAAUGGACUUUGAAAAUUAGCCUCAACA
RNAcentral lists this non-coding RNA (29 nucleotides) under Rattus norvegicus (Norway rat). The record is from RNAcentral. Lineage: Eukaryota; Metazoa; Chordata; Mammalia; Rodentia; Muridae.